UGAGCAACCUGCCCUUAGUUCUGGGAUAACCCCGGGAAACCGGGGCUAAUACCGGAUAUGAGUCCGAGCGGCAUCACGCGGACUGGAAAGUUUUUCGGCUAAGGAUGGGCUCGCGGCCUAUCAGCUUGUUGGUGGGGUAAUGGCCUACCAAGGCGACGACGGGUAGCCGGCCUGAGAGGGUGACCGGCCACACUGGGACUGAGACACGGCCCAGACUCUUACGGGAGGCA
This 230-nucleotide ribosomal RNA is filed under the name uncultured bacterium. RNAcentral's name for it is "partial 16S ribosomal RNA". It matches the Rfam family "Bacterial small subunit ribosomal RNA", at positions 118 to 350 of the family's 1533-position model. The record is from RNAcentral.